Molecule: transfer RNA, 71 nt
Filed under: Camelus bactrianus (Bactrian camel)
Lineage: Eukaryota; Metazoa; Chordata; Mammalia; Artiodactyla; Camelidae
Also listed under: 2 other names
Rfam family: tRNA
About the family: Transfer RNA (tRNA) molecules are approximately 80 nucleotides in length.
Source: Rfam by way of RNAcentral
GUGGGUAUAGCUCCGUGGCAGAACACGUGCUUAGCACGCACGAGGUCCUGGGUUCAAUCCCAGUACCUCCA